AUUUGUGACACUGCCGGAGAGAGAUGCCGGUGGGCAGGGACGCCAACACACACCAUCGAUCUAUCUCAUUACACAUGCAGUUGCAGCAGCCUCGAGGUGGACACACAAUUAAACUGCUGAAACAAUAAUAUUGUUUUAGUAUUAAAAUAUGUUCCGUAUGCUGGAGAAUUAAUGUUAGCUACUUAGUGGCGUUAGUGUCAUAGAGGUAAACGAGAGGUUAGUCUGAUCCGGCUGAGCGUUAGUGUCAUGGAGGUAAACGAGAGGCUAGUCUGAUCCGGCUGAGCGUUAGUGUCAUGGAGGUAAACGAGAGGUUAAGUCUGAUCCGGCUGAGCGUUAGUGUCAUGGAGGUAAACGAGAGGUUAAGUCUGAUCCGGCUGAGCGUUAGUGUCAUGGAGGUAAACGAGAGGCUAGUCUGAUCCGGCUGAGCGUUAGUGUCAUGGAGGUAAACGAGAGGUUAAGUCUGAUCCGGCUGAGCGUUAGUGUCAUGGAGGUAAACGAGAGGUUAAGUCUGAUCCGGCUGAGCGUUAGUGUCAUGGAGGUAAACGAGAGGUUAAGUCUGAUCCGGCUGAGCGUUAGUGUCAUGGAGGU
RNAcentral lists this long non-coding RNA (588 nucleotides) under Salmo salar (Atlantic salmon). RNAcentral describes it as "lncRNA (ENSSSAG00000121144.1)". The record is from RNAcentral. Lineage: Eukaryota; Metazoa; Chordata; Actinopteri; Salmoniformes; Salmonidae.